GCCUCGCUAGGUAGCCUCAACAGGCCUACUAAGUGACUCAUGUUCAAGCAUAACUGAAUCAGAUACCCUCUUCAGACCUUCAUCUAUGUGCUGGUCACCAAGAAAGCUCCUAUUAGAAUGCUCUUCAAAACUUCCACCUUCACGUGCAGUUACAGAAUCUAAAACAGAAGGUCUUCCACUAUCUGUUCGGUCACUUGAUGCAUCCUGUGAUUCAACUGGAGGAGAUUCCUCAGUGACUUCUUUCUUCUGUUCCCU
This 255-nucleotide long non-coding RNA is filed under the name Capsicum annuum. RNAcentral describes it as "long non-coding RNA (CANN_LNC019844)". Lineage: Eukaryota; Viridiplantae; Streptophyta; Magnoliopsida; Solanales; Solanaceae. The record is from RNAcentral.